RNAcentral lists this transfer RNA (84 nucleotides) under Actinoplanes sp. L3-i22. RNAcentral describes it as "tRNA-Phe". Lineage: Bacteria; Bacillati; Actinomycetota; Actinomycetes; Micromonosporales; Micromonosporaceae. The record is from RNAcentral.
UCGGCGCUCUGCACCGGCCGGCCGGCGAGCAGGUUGAACGCCUGCCCGGGCAGCCGGGCGCCGAUCUCCUCGGCGUGCGCCAGG